RNAcentral lists this ribosomal RNA (253 nucleotides) under uncultured bacterium. RNAcentral describes it as "partial 16S ribosomal RNA". It matches the Rfam family "Bacterial small subunit ribosomal RNA", at positions 524 to 776 of the family's 1533-position model. The record is from RNAcentral.
UACAGGGGGGGCAAGCGUUGUUCGGAAUUACUGGGCGUAAAGGGUUCGUAGGUGGCCAACUAAGUCAGACGUGAAAUCCCUCAGCUUAACUGGGGAACUGCGUCUGAUACUGGAUGGCUUGAGUGUAGGAGAGGAAUGCGGAAUUCCAGGUGUAGCGGUGAAAUGCGUAGAUAUCUGGAGGAACACCGGUGGCGAAGGCGGCAUUCUGGACCGACAUUGACGCUGAGGAGCGAAAGCCAGGGGAGCAAACGGG